UUGUGAAGCCAUAUGGCCUAAUGAUUAGCAUGUGAGAUUUUGACAAAGAGAAUUCAGUCAGAUUUAAAACCUCAAAACUACUCCAAAGAAGGAGAGCAUUAAGUUUUCAGAAAGAAUUUUCAUUUGAGGAUAAAGAAGAACUUGCUAAUAGCACAAAGGACAUUGAUGCUAAUCUUUUAGCAGUGCUUCCAAAAGUUUCAGAAUUAAGAAAACUCUUUGAACCAA
RNAcentral lists this long non-coding RNA (225 nucleotides) under Chrysemys picta bellii (western painted turtle). RNAcentral's name for it is "lncRNA (ENSCPBG00000015879.1)". Lineage: Eukaryota; Metazoa; Chordata; Testudines; Emydidae. The record is from RNAcentral.